AACGAACGCUGGCGGCAUGCCUAACACAUGCAAGUCGAACGAGACCUUCGGGUCUAGUGGCGCACGGGUGCGUAGCGCGUGGGAACCUGCCCUUAGGUUCGGAAUAACUCCCCGAAAGGGGUGCUAAUACCGGAUAAUGUCGUCGGACCAAAGAUUUAUCGCCUUGGGCUGGGCUCGCGUUGGCUUAGCUAGUUGGUAGGGUAAAAGCCUACCAAGGCGACGAUACAUAGCUGGUCUGUGAGGAUGAUCGGCCACACUGGGACUGAGACACGGCCCAGACUCCUACGGGAGGAAGAGGUGGGGAAAAUUGGACAAUGGGCGAAAGCCUGAUCAAGCAAUGUGGCGUGAGUGAUGAAGCCCUUAGGGUUGUAAAGCUCUUUUACCCGGGAUGAUAAUGACAGUACCGGGAGAAUAAGCCCCGGCUAACCCCGUG
Molecule: ribosomal RNA, 433 nt
Filed under: uncultured bacterium
Lineage: Bacteria
Description: partial 16S ribosomal RNA
Rfam family: Bacterial small subunit ribosomal RNA
Source: RNAcentral